This 313-nucleotide long non-coding RNA is filed under the name Setaria italica (foxtail millet). RNAcentral describes it as "long non-coding RNA (SITA_LNC007504)". The record is from RNAcentral. Lineage: Eukaryota; Viridiplantae; Streptophyta; Magnoliopsida; Poales; Poaceae.
UUUAUUUUAGAAAUUAGAGGCAUGAAUUUAGAAAAUUAGAGAAGAAUGAAGAGUGGAAAUUAGAAAAUGUUGAAAAGAAUAGAGGUGUGGUAUUUGAUGUAGAGAGGUGGUUGUGGUUGUUGGCCAUCGUGCCAUCUCUUUGGUGAGAUUGUGCUUGUCGGCUAUCGUGCCGUUUAUUAUGUUGCAGGUUUUGGAAACCUCCCCGUGCAGGGGAGUUGCUGCCGAAAUUUUGAAUUAAAUAGUGCUCUGUUUCUUUUGUUGCAGGAGAGGCUUACAAGGACCGUCCUCGACUCGGCACUUUGCAGGAUAGCAA